AAUAGAUACCCUGGUAGUCCACGCCGUAAACGAUGUCGACUUGGAGGUUGUGCCCUUGAGGCGUGGCUUCCGGAGCUAACGCGUUAAGUCGACCGCCUGGGGAGUACGGCCGCAAGGUUAAAACUCAAAUGAAUUGACGGGGGCCCGCACAAGCGGUGGAGCAUGUGGUUUAAUUCGAUGCAACGCGAAGAACCUUACCUACUCUUGACAUCCAGAGAAGUUUGCAGAGAUGCGAACGUGCCUUCGGGAACUCUGAGACAGGUGCUGCAUGGCUGUCGUCAGCUCGUGUUGUGAAAUGUUGGGUUAAGUCCCGCAACGAGCGCAACCCUUAUCCUUUGUUGCCAGCGAUUCGGUCGGGAACUCAAAGGAGACUGCCAGUGAUAAACUGGAGGAAGGUGGGGAUGACGUCAAGUCAUCAUGGCCCUUACGAGUAGGGCUACACACGUGCUACAAUGGCAUAUACAAAGAGAAGCGACCUCGCGAGAGCAAGCGGACCUCAUAAAGUAUGUCGUAGUCCGGAUUGG
RNAcentral lists this ribosomal RNA (524 nucleotides) under uncultured bacterium. RNAcentral describes it as "bacterial SSU rRNA". It matches the Rfam family "Bacterial small subunit ribosomal RNA", at positions 777 to 1301 of the family's 1533-position model. The record is from RNAcentral.